Molecule: transfer RNA, 73 nt
Filed under: Hepatospora eriocheir
Lineage: Eukaryota; Fungi; Microsporidia; Hepatosporidae
Rfam family: tRNA
About the family: Transfer RNA (tRNA) molecules are approximately 80 nucleotides in length. Their secondary structure includes four short double-helical elements and three loops (D, anti-codon, and T loops).
Source: Rfam by way of RNAcentral
GUUCGCAUAGUGUAGUGGUUAUCACACUUGCUUAACACGCAAGAGGUCAAGAGUUCGAUUCUCUUUGGGAACA